Molecule: long non-coding RNA, 201 nt
Organism: Arabidopsis thaliana (thale cress)
Lineage: Eukaryota; Viridiplantae; Streptophyta; Magnoliopsida; Brassicales; Brassicaceae
Product: other RNA
Exons: 1
Source: RefSeq
AUCUUAAGAACAAAGAAGAAUCGCAAAGAGAAAAUCGAAGAAUCUAGCGAGUACAAAACCUGGAGGAGGUAUGGUUUCCACCCACGAGGAGAACUAUAGAUAUUUGUGAUCCAAACCAGACCCUUCUUGGAACCCUAAUCGACUUCACCUCCGUCCCCAUUCUCACCGUUCGAUCCACCAUGCAGAAAAAAAAGAAACAAA